RNAcentral lists this non-coding RNA (31 nucleotides) under Mus musculus (house mouse). Lineage: Eukaryota; Metazoa; Chordata; Mammalia; Rodentia; Muridae. The record is from RNAcentral.
CAGACUGGGUUAUUGUUUGUGUGCUUUCCCC